RNAcentral lists this transfer RNA (74 nucleotides) under Myxococcales bacterium 68-20. RNAcentral's name for it is "tRNA-Gly". It matches the Rfam family "tRNA". Rfam says of the family: Transfer RNA (tRNA) molecules are approximately 80 nucleotides in length. Their secondary structure includes four short double-helical elements and three loops (D, anti-codon, and T loops). Further hydrogen bonds mediate the characteristic L-shaped molecular structure. tRNAs have two regions of fundamental functional importance: the anti-codon, which is responsible for specific mRNA codon recognition, and the 3' end, to which the tRNAs corresponding amino acid is attached (by aminoacyl-tRNA synthetases). tRNAs cope with the degeneracy of the genetic code in two manners: having more than one tRNA (with a specific anti-codon) for a particular amino acid; and 'wobble' base-pairing, i.e. permitting non-standard base-pairing at the 3rd anti-codon position. The record is from RNAcentral. Lineage: Bacteria; Pseudomonadati; Myxococcota; Myxococcia; Myxococcales.
GCGGGCAUCGUCCAAAAGUAGGACCACAGUCUUCCAAACUGAAAAUGAGGGUGCGAGUCCCUCUGUCCGCUCCG